GGGUCAGUAGGUUGGUCGUGCCACCGGUACGUACUGGUCUCACUGAUUCCUCCUUCCUGAAGAACCAUAAUGCCAUUAAUUUGGUGUUGCGGGGAAACAGGACUGUUACUUUGAAAAAAUUAGAGUGUUUAAAGCAAGCUAACGCUUUAAUACAUUAGCAUGGAAUAAUGAAAUAGGACGAUCGAUCCUAUUUUGUUGGUUUCUAGGAUUGACGUA
This 216-nucleotide ribosomal RNA is filed under the name Glomeromycotina sp. Its description in RNAcentral is "partial small subunit ribosomal RNA". The stretch from base 40 to 216 matches the Rfam family "Eukaryotic small subunit ribosomal RNA", at positions 686 to 864 of the family's 1831-position model. The record is from RNAcentral. Lineage: Eukaryota; Fungi; Glomeromycota.